Long non-coding RNA from Photinus pyralis (common eastern firefly), 777 nucleotides. RefSeq lists it as uncharacterized. The record is from RefSeq and is a predicted model, not a curated record. The transcript is spliced from 3 exons. Lineage: Eukaryota; Metazoa; Arthropoda; Insecta; Coleoptera; Lampyridae.
AUCUGGCUCGUAUCGGUUACUGAACAUUUAAAACUGUCAAUAUUUUUCAUUCAUUUUGCCAUUAUAGCAAAGAACCCUGAUACUACAUUAAGAUACCGAACAGAGAUUUACCUUCCUGGAUUAGUUGGCAAAUAGAGACGCACUUAGCAAGAGUGCCUACCGUGUAUCUCGACAAUCACCAUAUCACAAAUCGAGAUGGAAAAAUCUUAAAGUGGUUUUAGAAUCGGAUGUAGAAAUAUAAAUAUAAAUUGUGAUCGAUCAGUAACUGUAGUUAUUGUUAUAUAACUUUGGUGUCUUACUACAUGAGUGUUCAUCAAGAAGCUUGUACCAGUCGACAUUGAUACACAUCCUACUGAGGCGGUAUAACCCUAUAUUUGACAGACCAACCCAGACCUACCGGAGGAAGAGUCUACUGUACUGGUAAUUGGCAUUCCUCUUAGGGCCUGCUGCGUACGACAGGUAUAUUGAGAAGAGAAGUACAUGUAGCUGGCUUGCCGAACAGAAUGCGCCGAUGGUACACGUCGGAUCGUUGUUCAGAAAAAUCUUAAUGCAUUCCAAGCAGGAGCAUCAACGGAUCAAUUUUAUUGUGAUAAAGUUUCAAGUGCUGAAAACAAAGCGCGUCGCCUAUCAGAUGAUGAUUAGCUGAAUAAUUAAUACGCGCGUGCUGUUUAAAUAAAAUUUAGUUGCAAUGCGUAAUUUGGAUAGUUCGAAUAUGCUCCAUGGGAGAUUCGCCCAAUUUAUUGCGGUUUUUACAGGUGAGUUUUCUUAUAUAAUUUU